ACAGCUUCUUUCAACGAUUAGGUCACUCCACCUGCUAAAAGUAACAGGCUUAACAUUAGUGUUGGCCCGUCCCCUUGGAGUGGCUUUCUUGACGCCUUUCUAAAUGGACUGGAACUUCUGUUCAGCGCUAUGGAACUUCCACAUGUUGAUACUGAAAAGUACUGUGACACUAACCAAAUUGGAAUAUGAUAAAUUCUUUUUCUACCUCAGAGAUUGUUUCAUUUCUUCAUUUUGUACUGGAUAUGUCUGCAUAUUUCAAUGAUCUGUUCAUUUUUACUACUAGGAUACUACAGGUAACUAAAGUAACAACUAUUAUGAAUACACAGUAAUAAUUGGCCUCAUAUAUAUUUGACAGAAGCUAAAAAUACAGUGUUCUUUGUUGUAUCUUUAAAGGUUGCUUAUUCUUCUCGAGUGGAAUAAGUGUCUUUCAUUAGUUUAAUUUAAUGAACUCUUUUGGCAUUUAGUACAAACACUUGUUGUUAUCUGUUAUAUUCUUUUGUCAAUCUUACCUAUCUUUCAGGACAUCAUAGGUAAAUUAUACAGACAUAUUUUUGACUACUGCUGAUGUAACUAAUCUCCGGAGAGACAAUAGAGACCAAUGCUGCAAAUUAUAUGUGAAUAGAAAUAACUGAUCAGGUGAAGUUAAAAAGUUUUUACCAGUAAGUCUUGUUGGUAGUGAUUGUAAUUUCUCCAACAAACUUUUAAGCACUCAUUGCUAUAUUGUAUUGACAUAUUUAUCUAAAUGUUCGUAUUCUGAAAUACAUUUGAUGACUAACUGUAUACCUUUUUUUGUCAGAAUCUUAUUCAUAUUUUGAACCUUUAAGCCAUUAUUGAUGGACGAAGUGAGAUUGCAGAUGGAAUAAGUGACGCAGAUCAGACUCUGCUCUCUUCAAAUCCUUAAAUGUUUUGCCUUGGAGGAACAGAUUCCCAAAUUGAGUAAAUCGUUAACCAUGAUGAAACAAAAGCGGAUCCAUUACAACCAUUCUAAAUGGUCAGAAAGUGCAGGGCUUUUUGGCCACAGCUUCUUUCAACGAUUAUGUUACUCCACCUGCUAAAAGUAACAGGCUUAACGUUAGUGUUGGCCCGUCCCCUUGGAGUGGCUUUCUUGACGCCUUUCUAAAUGGACUGGAACUUCUGUUCAGCACUAUGGAACUUCCACAUGUUGAUACUGAAAAGUACUGUGACACUAACCGAAUUGGAAUAUGAUAAUUUCUUUUUCUACCUCAGAGAUUGUUUCAUUUCUUCAUUUUGUACUGGAUAUGUCUGCAUAUUUCAACGAUCUGUUCAUUUUUACUACUAGGAUACUAUAGGUAACUAAAGUAACAACUAUUAUGAAUACACAGUAAUAAUUGGCCUCAUAUAUAUUUGACAGAAGCUAAAAAUACAGUGUUCUUUGUUGUAUCUCUAAAGGUUGCUUAUUCUUCUCGAGUGGAAUAAGUGUCUUUCAUUAGAUUAAUUUAAUGAACUCUUUUGGCAUUUAGAACAAACACUUGUUGUUAUCAGUUAUAUUCUUUUGUCAAUCUUACUUAUCUUUCAGGACAUCAUAGGUAAAAUAUACGUACAUAUUUUUGAUUACUGCUGAUGUAAAAGCAUCUCAAGCCCUCAAGAAAAAAGCAUUUGCAGCAUGAAAUACAUGCAAAGAGAGAAAUUACAUCUCUCACUAUAUGUUGAACUUAUCUCGGGAGAGACAAUAGAGACCAAUGCUGCAAAUUAUAUAUGUACUGAUGCUUCGCCCCUUCGCCCCUACUGAUGGCAGUUCUAUUGUUUAUUGUGGGAACAUGUGGCAGUUCCAUAAGAGUAUGGAAGACAUCUCCAAAUUGCAUGAGUUUUUCUGCAUUGGCAUGUGCAAGACUAUUUCUUCACUGUUUUGUUUUAAUAAUAGCACUUCAUAUUUACACCCAGACCUAGGUAAUAAUUUUUUUCCCUACAGCCUUGUAUACUUCACGCUUUAACUAUUGUGUUUUGUCUGUAACUGGCUUUAGUUACUUGUUCUACUAUAAAGGGUAAUCAAUGUCCAGAUGAAGUUUCAAUGGCUUA
Molecule: long non-coding RNA, 2037 nt
Organism: Nicotiana attenuata
Lineage: Eukaryota; Viridiplantae; Streptophyta; Magnoliopsida; Solanales; Solanaceae
Exons: 2
Source: RefSeq, a predicted model, not a curated record